This 72-nucleotide transfer RNA is filed under the name Sus scrofa (pig). It matches the Rfam family "tRNA". Rfam says of the family: Transfer RNA (tRNA) molecules are approximately 80 nucleotides in length. Lineage: Eukaryota; Metazoa; Chordata; Mammalia; Artiodactyla; Suidae. The record is from Rfam by way of RNAcentral.
UCCCUGGUGAUCUAGUGGUUAGGAUUCAGCUCUAUCACUGCUGCGGCCAGGGUUCAAUCCCUGGUCUGAGAA